GAUGAACGCUGGCGGCGUGCCUAAUACAUGCAAGUCGAGCGAACGGACGAGAAGCUUGCUUCUCUGAUGUUAGCGGCGGACGGGUGAGUAACACGUGGAUAACCUACCUAUAAGACUGGGAUAACUUCGGGAAACCGGAGCUAAUACCGGAUAAUAUUUUGAACCGCAUGGUUCAAAAGUGAAAGACGGUCUUGCUGUCACUUAUAGAUGGAUCCGAGCUGCAUUAGCUAGUUGGUAAGGUAACGGCUUACCAAGGCAACGAUGCAUAGCCGACCUGAGAGGGUGCUCGGCCACACUGGAACUGAGACACGGUCCAGACUCCUACGGUAGGCAGCAGUAGGGAAUCUUCCGCAAUGGGCGAAAGCUUGACGGAGCAACGCCGCGUGAGUGAUGAAGGUCUUCGGAUCGUAAAACUCUGUUAUUAGGGAAGAACAUAUGUGUAAGUAACUGUGCACAUCUUGACGGUACCUAAUCAGAAAGCCACGGCUAACUACGUG
RNAcentral lists this ribosomal RNA (497 nucleotides) under uncultured bacterium. RNAcentral's name for it is "partial 16S ribosomal RNA". It matches the Rfam family "Bacterial small subunit ribosomal RNA", at positions 28 to 507 of the family's 1533-position model. The record is from RNAcentral.